Molecule: ribosomal RNA, 516 nt
Filed under: uncultured bacterium
Lineage: Bacteria
Description: bacterial SSU rRNA
Rfam family: Bacterial small subunit ribosomal RNA
Source: RNAcentral
GACGCUGGCGGCGUGCCUAAUACAUGCAAGUCGAACGGUCUUUUCUAUGGAAGCUUGCUUCCACUGAGAAGAUAGUGGCGAACGGGUGAGUAACACGUGGGUAACCUGCCCAUAAGAGGGGGGAUAACAUCCGGAAACGGGUGCUGAUACCGCAUAGUUUUCUUGAUUGCAUGAUUGAGAAAGGAAAGACGGCCUUUGUGCUGUCGCUUAUGGAUGGACCCGCGGCGUAUUAGUUAGUUGGUGAGGUAACGGCUCACCAAGACGAUGAUACGUAGCCGACCUGAGAGGGUGAUCGGCCACAUUGGGACUGAGACACGGCCCAAACUCCUACGGGAGGCAGCAGUAGGGAAUCUUCCGCAAUGGACGAAAGUCUGACGGAGCAACGCCGCGUGAGUGAAGAAAAGGUUUUCGGAUCGUAAAACUCUGUUGUCAGAGAAGAACAAGUUGGAGAGUAACUGCUCCAGCCUUGACGGUAUCUGACCAGAAAGCCACGGCUAACUACGUGCCAGCCGCAGC